RNAcentral lists this long non-coding RNA (1341 nucleotides) under Equus caballus (horse). RNAcentral describes it as "lncRNA (ENSECAG00000057442.1)". Lineage: Eukaryota; Metazoa; Chordata; Mammalia; Perissodactyla; Equidae. The record is from RNAcentral.
UUUCAUUCUCUUCCUCUUUCAACUUGAAGGGGAGAAAAUAUCAGGCUUGAAGCCACUGCAUCCAUCUUCCUAAAAUUGGGGUAUUGAGAAUAAAGAUAGUACCAUCAUACAGUAGAGCCAAGAGAUGAGAAAAAUCGUAUACAAGAGACAUUGUUUGUACCUUGAAUCCAGUCAUACCUGAAACCAUCAAUGCCAUGUGCCUUUUAGUUACACGAGCCAGUAAAGUCCACUUCGUCCCUCAAGCAGAUAGUUUAUUUGGAAGGUGAUCUCGGGAAACACUAGCAGAAAAGUGGACAGAGAGGCGGGAGAGGAAGAAAACCAAUAAAGAGUGUGCUAUCAAGCAAGUUAACACUGUGGGCAACUGCAGCUUCGUCCGGCGGAAACUCUGCUGAAUGAAGAGAAUUCCAAGGCCACCGAAGAGGGCAGACCCACAGGACUGAACGAGCCUGGAUCCUGAUAUGACCCCUUGGAAGGCUGUUCGCUGGCCAGGGACCCCUAAUUGGACUUUGCAUUGAUGAGGAAAUUGAGGUUCGGCGGGCAGAGGUUCUCUGCGCGAAGUCAAGAGCCAGGGAGUGACUGAACUGCCAGACACCAGACACGGCGCGUAUCCCGCCACAUCGUGCUUCCUCCUUCUCUGAGCCCUCCUCUGCAUGGUGCACAAAUCUGCAGCCACCAUUUAACUGCAACUCCAUGAGGACUCUAAGCUAGAAGGACCCAUCUGGAGCCUUCCUGAAUUCCCGACCCACAGAAGCCAUGAGAGAUGAGGUGGUUGCUGUUGCUCAGUGGCACUGAGUUUCGUGGUGAUUGUCAUCCUGCAGUGGGACCUGGAACAGAGACCCUUGAGGCAGAACCGUUUGCUUUGUUCACCGGCCUUUACUCUGUGGUGAUCACAGUGCCUGGCACAUGCUCCAGAGCCAGGACAGCACCAGCUUCUCCUGCAAGUCACUCACGUCCUCGUGUUUGGAGACAGUUAGAGACUGACAUGGGUUCCAGCUGGUCUUUCUCUUACCACGGUAUGUCUAACCUUCCUUCCCAACUGCUGGCCCUGAUUACCUCAGGCUCAACACCAGAUACAGAGGAGGAAGAUGAGACUCAUGUGGAGCACGGUCACCCCAGCCACUGCAGGCUGAAGCAAAACUGGGCCCCAGACAAGCCGAGGCCCCCAGUGCAAGGAGAACUGUCCAGCCCAGCCCAGCCUGCGUCAGCCAAACACCGGCUGACACACAAUGCAUGAACAAUAAUAAACACUUGUUUUGUUAAAGCCACUGAGGUUUUUUUGUUUGUUUGUUUGUUUUUGCUUUUGUUGUAUGCCCUUGGUAGCCUGGGGAAGCCUACAGAUCC